This 2447-nucleotide ribosomal RNA is filed under the name Titanophora sp. GWS-2015b. Its description in RNAcentral is "eukaryotic LSU rRNA". It matches the Rfam family "Eukaryotic large subunit ribosomal RNA", at positions 74 to 2376 of the family's 3401-position model. The record is from RNAcentral. Lineage: Eukaryota; Rhodophyta; Florideophyceae; Nemastomatales; Schizymeniaceae.
AUUCCCUUAGUAGCGGCGAGCGAAGCGGGAUAAGCCCAAUGUGAAAAGCCGCUUUUAUGUGGCGUUGUAGUUGAGCGCCCUUGAGGUGUCAGUCUGGGAAAGUCGCAUGGAAGUGCGUGCCGUGGAGGGUGAGAGCCCCGUCCAUCCCAUUCAGGACACUUCGUACACGGGUGUUUCAGACGAGUCGGGUAGCUUGGGAAUGCUGCUCUAAUUGGUGGUAAAUCUCAUCAAAGGCUAAAUAACGGUGGGAGACCGAUAGAGAACAAGUACCGUGAGGGAAAGAUGACAAGCACUUUGAAAAGAGGGUGAAAAGAGCCUGAAACCGUUACGGGGGAAGCGGAUUGCAUUGGAUUUGGAACGGGCGUCAUCGUGUUCAGUCUGUUCUGUUCUUUAAAACGGACAGAAUUAGGUGUAUUCACGUUUUUUGAUGCUCAACCGUCGUGGGUUCUCGGGCGGUGAUGAAAAUAUAUUUUUUUGACCGUCUGGGGACUGAGGGCUCCCCUAUUUUUUUUUGGGUUUUGAGGACGACGGUGUGACGAUGCGAUACGACCCGUCUUGAAACACGGACCAAGGAGUCUAGCGCGAUUGCGAGUCGAAGGGUGUGAAACAAACCUGUGGGCGCAGUGAAAGCAAACUUGUUCUCGUAAAAACAGAAAUGAAAACGGACAGUUUGAGGCGGCAUAAAAUCGUCGAUUUUAGGUCUGACCUUGAGCAGUUGCGCUGGGACCCGAAAGAUGGUGAACUAUGCCGGAGUAGGGCGAAGCCAGGGGAAACCCUGGUGGAGGCUCGCAGCGGUGCUGACGUGCAAAUCGCUCGUCGAACUUGGGUAUAGGGGCGAAAGACUAAUCGAACCAUCUAGUAGCUGGUUCCCUCCGAAGUUUCUCUCAGGAUAGCUGGGUGAUCAGCGUGUUGUUUUGUGCGGUAAAGCGAAUGAUUAGCGCAUUCGGGGGCGUCAAGCCUUUGGGCGAUUCUCAAACUUUAAAUGCGCAAGGGUACCGGUGCUUUGUUGAGCGGUCCCAACAUGUAAAAACAGUCACCUAUGUGGGCCACUUUUGGUAAGCAGAACUGGCGAUACGGGAUGAACCGUAAGCAUGGUUAAGGUGCCAAACUGCCCGCUUAUAGAACCCAAAAAAGGUGUUGGUUCAUCGAGACAGCAGGACGGUGGCCAUGGAAGUCGGAAUCCGCCAAGGAGUGUGUAACAACUCACCUGCCGAAUGAACUAGCCCUGAAAAUGGAUGGCGCUUAAGCGGGUGACCGACACCAUGCCGUCUGAAUAAAACAAAAUACAUUCGGAUGAGUAGGAGGGCGUGGCGGCCGUGGCGAAGGGCGCAUGCAGAUGCUCCUGGAACAGCCGCUAGUGCAGAUCUUGGUGGUAGUAGCAAAUAUUCAAGCGAGAUCCUUGAAGGGCGAAGCGGGGAAGGGUUCCACGCGAACAUUGAUUGGGCGUGGGUGAGUCGUUCCUAAGCCGAGUGGCAAUUGCUAAACUAGACUUUUUUUUACGGCGAAAGGGAAGUGGGUUGACAUUCCCACACACGGAUGUGGAGGCGGUGACGCGUUACUUGUUUGGGGCGAACACGCCGGCGAUGGCGCUGGGCAGAGUUGUCUUUUCUGUUUGACCGCUUAUAGACGCGGUGUGGAAUCCGCUUGUCGGGAGAAACACGCGUUUACGGGCAGAGCGCCGGGCUUAUUCCGGCGUCCAGCUCGCCAUCGACGGCCCUUGAAACUUUGCCUGCUGAAAACCGCAUAAAAACGGUUCAAAAUCCACGCCGUGGCGUACCGAUAUCCGCAUCAGGUCCCCGAGGUGAACAGCCUCUGCUCAGUAUGAAAAAUGCAGGUAAGGGAAGUCGGCAAAUUGGACCCGUAACUUUGGGAAAAGGGUUGGCUCUAGUGCUGCGUGGGAAUUGGUUGCUAGUCGAAACGAAAAAACAGCAAGGGGUGCUUAACACAUUCUUCGUUCAAUUUUUUCUUUUUUUACGGCGUAGUCCUCGGAUGCGAUGCGCGAGUUGGGAUGUGCGUGCGUCUGGUUUUCGGGCAUGACGUUCCGUUUUUUCUUCACCUUUUCGGAGGCAAAAGAGACUCGGCCCACUGAUUGUUUUUUUGAGGCUGGCGUGCAGCGCGCCCGAUUUGCGCGUCUUGUCUGGUCUGCGGCGCGGCCGGCGACGCCCACAGCAUGCAGCAAACUAGAACUGCAACGGGCAAAGGGAAUCCGACUGUUUAAUUAAAACAAAGCAUUGCGAGGGCCGUGGCCGGUGAUGACGCAAUGUGAUUUCUGCUCAGUGCUCUGAAUGUCAAAGUGAAGAGAUUCAACCAAGCGCGGGUAAACAGCGGGAGUAACUAUGACUCUCUUAAGGUAGCCAAAUGCCUCGUCAUCUAAUUAGUGACGCGCAUGAAUGGAUUAACGAGAUUCCUACUGUCCCUAUCUGCUUCUAGCGAAACCACAGCCGAGG